RNAcentral lists this ribosomal RNA (815 nucleotides) under uncultured Trechisporales. RNAcentral's name for it is "eukaryotic LSU rRNA". The stretch from base 210 to 815 matches the Rfam family "Eukaryotic large subunit ribosomal RNA", at positions 1 to 608 of the family's 3401-position model. The record is from RNAcentral. Lineage: Eukaryota; Fungi; Basidiomycota; Agaricomycetes; Trechisporales.
UCUGAAUCAUCAACCAUCGGCGCUGUCGUCGAGGGUUGACUGGGGUUUUGCUGCCGCUCGCGGUGGCUCCCUUAAAUGAAUCGGUCGGGCUAUAGUGUGCCGGUCCACGGGCGUUGUAUCAUCCUCGUCCCAGGUUGGCGCGCUACUCGAAGGCCCUUCCUCGACCUGCCUCUGGAGUGGCGGUCAAAGGCGCUUUGCCACUUGUGAUCUGACCUCAAAUCAGGUAGGACUACCCGCUGAACUUAAGCAUAUCAAUAAGCGGAGGAAAAGAAACUAACAAGGAUUCCCCUAGUAACUGCGAGUGAAGCGGGAAGAGCUCAAAUUUGAAAUCUGGCGGUUUUGCCGUCCGAGUUGUAUUCUGGAGAAGCGUUUUCCGUGCUGGACCGUGUACAAGUCCCUUGGAACAGGGCGUCAUAGAGGGUGAGAAUCCCGUCUUUGACACGGACUACCAGUGCUCUGUGAUGCGCUCUCGAAGAGUCGAGUUGUUUGGGAAUGCAGCUCAAAAUGGGUGGUAAAUUCCAUCUAAAGCUAAAUAUUGGCGAGAGACCGAUAGCGAACAAGUACCGUGAGGGAAAGAUGAAAAGCACUUUGGAAAGAGAGUGAAACAGUACGUGAAAUUGUUGAAAGGGAAACGCUUGAAGUCAGUCGCGUCUUCUGGAACUCAGCCGUGCUUCUGCUAGGCGCACUUUCCAGUUUGACGGGUCAGCAUCGGUUUCGGUGGGCAGACAAAGGCGUAGGGAAGGUGGCCGCUCCGGUGGUGUUAUAGCCCUGCGUUGUAUGUGCCCGCUGGGACCGAGGAAUCCGGCUCGCGCCUG